Ornithorhynchus anatinus (platypus) is the source of this 138-nucleotide small nucleolar RNA. The record is from RefSeq and is a predicted model, not a curated record. NCBI's taxonomy places the organism in Eukaryota, Metazoa, Chordata, Mammalia, Monotremata, Ornithorhynchidae.
GCCCUCUCGGAGUCACAACUGGAGAGUUUCCAGUACUCUACCAGUUUUGACUAAGGGAGGGAGAGUUAGGUAGAGGCAAACCCAUUCCAUUCCUAGCUUGGGCAGUGACUGGAGAAUGGAAGACAAUCUGCUACAAGU